CCCUUAGAUGUUCGGGGCCGCACGCGCGCUACACUGAAUGAAUCAGCGAGUGUAUGUCCUAGGCCGAAAGGUCCGGGUAACCCGUUGAACCUCAUUCGUGAUUGGGAUAGGGACUUGCAAUUGUUUCCCUUGAACGAGGAAUUCCCAGUAAGCGCAAGUCAUCAGCUUGCGUUGAUUACGUCCCUGCCCUUUGUACACACCGCCCGUCGCUACUACCGAUUGAAUGGCUUAGUGAGCCUUUGGGAUUGGCAGCUUGUACCGGCAACGGUAGCAGGCCGCUGAAAACUUAGGCAAACUUGGUCAUUUAGAGGAAGUAAAAGUCGUAACA
RNAcentral lists this ribosomal RNA (328 nucleotides) under uncultured eukaryote. RNAcentral's name for it is "partial 18S ribosomal RNA". It matches the Rfam family "Eukaryotic small subunit ribosomal RNA", at positions 1470 to 1796 of the family's 1831-position model. The record is from RNAcentral.